Molecule: ribosomal RNA, 250 nt
Filed under: uncultured bacterium
Lineage: Bacteria
Also listed under: 1 other name
Description: partial 16S ribosomal RNA
Rfam family: Bacterial small subunit ribosomal RNA
Source: RNAcentral
GACGUAGGAUGCAAGCGUUGUCCGGAUUUAUUGGGCGUAAAGAGUUCGUAGGCGGUUUGUUAAGUCUGAUGUUAAAGACCGGGGCUCAACCUCGGAAAUGCAUUGGAUACUGGCAGACUGGAGUGCAGUAGAGGCUAGUGGAAUUCCCAGUGUAGCGGUGAAAUGCGUAGAUAUUGGGAAGAACACCGGUGGCGUAGGCGACUAGCUGGGCUGUAACUGACGCUGAGGAACGAAAGCCAGGGGAGCGAAU